Molecule: ribosomal RNA, 497 nt
Filed under: uncultured bacterium
Lineage: Bacteria
Description: partial 16S ribosomal RNA
Rfam family: Bacterial small subunit ribosomal RNA
Source: RNAcentral
GAUGAACGCUCGCGUCGUGCCUAAUACAUGUAAGUCUAGCGAACGGACUAGAAUCUUGCUUCUCUUAUGUUAGCGGCUGACGGGUUAGUAACACGUGGAUAACCUAUCUAUAAGACUGGGAUAACUUCUUUGAACCGGAGCUAAUACCGGAUAAUAUUUUUUACCGCCUGGUUCAACAGUGUAAGACGGUCUUGCUGUCACUUAUAGAUGGCACCUCUUUGUAUUAUCUCGUUGGUAAGGUAACGGCUUACCAAGGCAACGAUGCAUAGCCGACCUGAGAGGGUGAUCGGCCACACUGGAACUGAGACACGGUCAAGACUCCUACGGGAGGCAGCAGUAGGGAAUCUUCAGCAAUGGGCGAAAGCCUGACGGAGCAAAGCCGCGUGAGUGAUGAAGGUCUUCGGAUCGUAAAACUCUGUUAUUAGGGAAGAACAUAUGUGUAAGUAACUGUGCACAUCUUGACGGUACCUAAUCGGAAAGCCACGGCUAACUACGUG